Non-coding RNA from Pelobates cultripes (western spadefoot toad), 226 nucleotides. Lineage: Eukaryota; Metazoa; Chordata; Amphibia; Anura; Pelobatidae. The record is from the annotation of a GenBank genome assembly.
GUUUGUACCCGUGGAAAAUAUUUAGUUUUUUUUGUUGUUAGAGUACCCUUUGAGCUUUAUAUGCUGUUAUGUGAAUAAGCAAAUAACCACAAUGACAUAUAUUUCACUAUUUGCAAAUUUCUAUUCAGAAACACAUUUCUUAUAUCUUCCCCAGAGAGUUUCUUGAAUCACAUCUUGGAUUUUUAGAAAUAUAAAUUGUCUGUCUCAGUACGCCUGGUUCAACUAC